This 323-nucleotide unclassified non-coding RNA is filed under the name soil metagenome. RNAcentral's name for it is "partial contains 5.8S ribosomal RNA, internal transcribed spacer 2, and large subunit ribosomal RNA". The stretch from base 1 to 120 matches the Rfam family "5.8S ribosomal RNA", at positions 35 to 154 of the family's 154-position model. The record is from RNAcentral.
GAUGAAGAACGUAGCGAAAUGCGAUAAGUAGUGUGAAUUGCAGAAUUCAGUGAAUCAUCGAAUCUUUGAACGAACAUUGCGCCCCUUGGUAUUCCAUGGGGCACGCCUGUUCGAGCGUCAUUUGUACCUUCAAGCUUUGCUUGGUGUUGGGUGUUUGUCCUGAGGGACUCGCCUUAAAGUAAUUGGCAGCCAGUGUUUGGUUUUGAAGCGCAGCACAAGUCGCGAUUCAAGGCUAUACACCAGCUUCCACAAGCCUUUUUCACUUUUGACCUCGGAUCAGGUAGGGAUACCCGCUGAACUUAAGCAUAUCAAUAAGCGGAGGA